GACAGAGGGUGCAAACGUUGUUCGGAAUUACUGGGCGUAAAGCGUGUGUAGGCGGCCACGCAAGUCAGGUGUGAAAGCCCCGGGCUCAACCCGGGAAGUGCACUUGAAACUGCAUGGCUCGAGUAUCGGAGAGGUUGGUGGAAUUCUCGGUGUAGAGGUGAAAUUCGUAGAUAUCGAGAGGAACACCAGUGGCGAAGGCGGCCAACUGGACGAAUACUGACGCUGAGACACGAAAGCGUGGGGAGCAAACAGG
This 253-nucleotide ribosomal RNA is filed under the name uncultured bacterium. RNAcentral describes it as "partial 16S ribosomal RNA". It matches the Rfam family "Bacterial small subunit ribosomal RNA", at positions 524 to 776 of the family's 1533-position model. The record is from RNAcentral.